UACCAGACUCCUACGGGAGGCAGCAGUCGGGAAUAUUGCGCAAUGGAGGAAACUCUGACGCAGUGACGCCGCGUAUAGGAAGAAGGUUUUCGGAUUGUAAACUAUUGUCGUGAGGGAAGAAGAUGACAGUACCUCAGGAGGAAGCUCCGGCUAACUAUGUGCCAGCAGCCGCGGUAAUACAUAGGGAGCAAGCGUUAUCCGGAAUUAUUGGGUGUAAAGGGUGCGUAGACGGCUGAGCAAGUCUGAAGUGAAAGGCGGGGGCCCAACCCCCGGACUGCUUUGGAAACUGUAUAGCUAGAGUGCAGGAGAGGUAAGUGGAAUUCCUAGUGUAGCGGUGAAAUGCGUAGAUAUUAGGAGGAACACCAGUGGCGAAGGCGGCUUACUGGACUGUAACUGACGUUGAGGCUCGAAAGCGUGGGGAGCAAACAGGAUUAGAUACCCCUGUA
RNAcentral lists this ribosomal RNA (446 nucleotides) under uncultured bacterium. RNAcentral's name for it is "bacterial SSU rRNA". It matches the Rfam family "Bacterial small subunit ribosomal RNA", at positions 329 to 792 of the family's 1533-position model. The record is from RNAcentral.